GAUGAACGCUAGCGGCAGGCUUAACACAUGCAAGUCGAGGGGCAGCGGAAGGAGUGCUUGCACUUCUGCCGGCGACCGGCGCACGGGUGAGUAACACGUAUGCAACCUGCCUCCGUCAGGGGGACAACCCGGCGAAAGCCGGGCUAAUCCCGCGUAUAUUCCGUGAGGGCAUCCUUACGGAAGGAAAGGUUUCGGCCGGACGGGGAUGGGCAUGCGGCGCAUUAGGUAGUCGGGGGUGUAACGGACCACCGAGCCGACGAUGCGUAGGGGUUCUGAGAGGAAGGUCCCCCACACUGGUACUGAGACACGGACCAGACUCCUACGGGAGGCAGCAGUGAGGAAUAUUGGUCAAUGGUCGGAAGACUGAACCAGCCAAGCCGCGUGAAGGAAGAAGGUGCUCGGCAUCGUAAACUUCUUUUGUCAGGGAACAAAGGGCGGUACGUGUACCGCUGUGAGUGUACCUGAAGAAAAAGCAUCGGCUAACUCCGUG
RNAcentral lists this ribosomal RNA (490 nucleotides) under uncultured bacterium. RNAcentral describes it as "bacterial SSU rRNA". It matches the Rfam family "Bacterial small subunit ribosomal RNA", at positions 28 to 507 of the family's 1533-position model. The record is from RNAcentral.